AGUGAACGCUGGCGGUAGGCCUAACACAUGCAAGUCGAACGGCAGCACAGUAAGAGCUUGCUCUUACGGGUGGCGAGUGGCGGACGGGUGAGGAAUACAUCGGAAUCUACUUUUUCGUGGGGGAUAACGUAGGGAAACUUACGCUAAUACCGCAUACGACCUACGGGUGAAAGCAGGGGAUCUUCGGACCUUGCGCGAUUGAAUGAGCCGAUGUCGGACUAGCUAGUUGGCGAGGUAAAGGCCCACCAAGGCGACGAUCCGUAGCUGGUCUGAGAGGAUGAUCCGGCACACUGGAACUGAGACACGGUCCAGACUCCUACGGGAGGCAGCAGUGGGGAAUAUUGGACAAUGGGCGCAAGCCUGAUCCAGCCAUACCGCGUGGGUGAAGAAGGCCUUCGGGUUGUAAAGCCCUUUUGUUGGGAAAGAAAAGCAGCAGGUUAAUACCCCGCUGUUCUGACGGUACCCAAAGAAUAAGCACCGGCUAACUUCGUG
RNAcentral lists this ribosomal RNA (492 nucleotides) under uncultured bacterium. RNAcentral's name for it is "partial 16S ribosomal RNA". It matches the Rfam family "Bacterial small subunit ribosomal RNA", at positions 29 to 507 of the family's 1533-position model. The record is from RNAcentral.